Oryza glaberrima (African rice) is the source of this 200-nucleotide non-coding RNA. The record is from Rfam. Lineage: Eukaryota; Viridiplantae; Streptophyta; Magnoliopsida; Poales; Poaceae.
AAAGACCGAAUUCUUUGGUUUUCGUGUCUAACGUUUGACCGUCCGUUUUAUAUGAAAUUUUUUUUAUGAUUAGUAUUUUCAUUUUUGUUAGAUGAUAAAACAUGAAUAAUACUUUAUGCAUAACUUAUCUUUUUAAUUUUUUUUUUCAAAUAAGACGAACGGUCGAACGCUAGACACGGAAACCUAGGAAUUGAGUUUUU